Meleagris gallopavo (turkey) is the source of this 2313-nucleotide non-coding RNA. The record is from RefSeq and is a predicted model, not a curated record. Lineage: Eukaryota; Metazoa; Chordata; Aves; Galliformes; Phasianidae.
CUGGUAUCCAUGAGUGUUUAUCACUGAUUUCAGGAUUUGGUUCAAAAACAAUCCUUGUUUUAAAUAAGCUCCAUGGCCAUCGUACACAGUAACUGCUGAAUUAUGAGAACUCUGGCAGCACACAUUAAAGUUUUAAAGAACACAGGGAAUUUCAUUCCUGAGCUACUUCAGUACGUUGCAACUAUCUCAUUUUGUAAUUCUCAAUGGCCAGACAACUGAAAAACAGCUGUUGGUGAGGCUGAACUUGAGCAGUCUUCCAUUUGGUGACAGAUUGACUAAAUCGCAGCAGCCGUCCCUGCAGGUGUUUGAGAACCACGCAGGUGGUGCUGAGGGAUGUGGUCAGUGGGCAUGGCAGGGGCGGCUGGGCCUGGGGAUCCUGAAGGGCUUUUCCAACCUUAAUGCUUCUAUGGUUUUAUGAUACUCUUGGGGCAAAACUGAGCCAAGAAUUCAGCCACCAGGCUGUAAGAUCGAGGAAGGAGAAGUGCCGAAUGUGUAGCAUCACACCCCCAGGGGCUGUAAAUCAGCUAGGUAGGAGUGACUUCAGUUACAUAGUGCCAGCUAGAGCCAAUCUCCACAGGAAUCUGAAAACCAAGCUUCUUCCUUCCAGCUUCAGCCCGUCUGCACCACGUGGAGCUCCAUUUUUCCACCAUCUAAAAUCGGUGACCACAGCUCAGGCAGUUACCACGUUUGUUCACAUAAUUGAAAUAAUUCAGAAGAUCUUGCCUGCCUUAAGCUGUUUGUCUCCCAAACUAAAAACAAAUCCUGCUCCUUGAGCAGGGAAUAUUAAAGCCAUAUUUAAAUAAGUCCCGUAGAAAACAAGGCUAUUAAAUGCACGUUAUCACAACAUCAAGUUAACCCGGUUCAGAAAUGAUCACAGUGUAUGACUGCCUUCACAAAUAACACAAGUACUAAUUGUCAAUUUCAAUAGCGAGGAAGGGUUUUAAUCAGUUCUGAAGAAAGAAUGGCAGCUUUUAUUGCACAAUUACUUCUUAAUUACAUUUGCUGCAGCUCCUAAUUUCCAAAAAGUGUUAGUUUUGCUUUUCUAGCUAUUGAGAACCAGCAGAGUAUAUUAAGAAUAGGUCCUUUUUCUGAACUAUUUUGGAAAAAGCCUGGCAGCAGAUCACUUGGGGCUCGGAUCUGUUCUGUGCUGCUGCCUGCCCUGCGCUGCCCAGCAAUGUCAGAAGCAAGGUUGAAGGUAAUUUGAGAGGGCUCAGACAAUCAGAGCUCAACCCCCGUCCGUUUUGUAAGGAUCAGCAGUUACUAUUUAAAUUUAAAAUGUAUUGGCAUAAAUGAGGAAUCCUGACUUCUUACAUUUUUACCGUUAAGUCCUUUUAUGGGUGGCCUUAAAGAUGCACUGCCAUUUCCAGAGGCUGGAGUGUAUUUUUAGUGGAAGCCUUUUGAUAGCAUUGUUAGAAACUGAUUGCAUUCCAUCCCUAACGUCAGCCUGAUGCAGAGUAUUUUGCAAAGGCAGUUUGUUAUAAAUUGUUGGUAAGUGUCAGAUAAAAGCAUCAUUCUACUACAAGCAACUAGCGGUAGGCAUGUAAUAACAUUUACAUUAAUAUUUUAUUUAAAUGUAUCAUCAAUUCACAUAGUCACCCAGCUCAGUAACUGGUACGAAUACUGAAAUAAUACGCCUAUAGCCUACAGAAGAACACUCUGAAAUUUACCAAGAAGGUAUCCAAAAACACACUUGACAUUUUUACAAAUGUUAGCUGCGUUCAGUUUCCACUAAUAACAACUAUGAAAUUUGUUUAUGUCUUCCCUUCAGGUCUGCAAUGGGGGACGCAGUGCUGCAGGCAGCAGAUGUGAGCAGUGGCAGCCCAGAGGACGGGGGGCAGCCAUGCUGUGCCUCCAGCAGCACUCACUGCCCGGCCCAGGAAUCCGUUCACGUCCACCAGGAGGAUGGAAUAAAGUGGAAAAUAUGGCAAGAAGAAAUACAGUCUUAAUAGUUGACAGACAGAAGACCCCAACAGACAGCAGAGCAAACACCACCACUGCACAGAACGAUCCCCAUCCCUUGGCUUUACCCAGGGCUCCACCCAAAGUGGCUGCAUCCCCAGACAAGGCCCCACGCUCAGCUGCUGCGGCCAGGGAGAGGUUUUAUGGCUAAUUUGUGUUCUUCAUGUCCAACUGCCCAACCCCAACCCAACCACCUCUUCCAGGGCAGCCAUGGAACAGAACUCUGGUGCCAAUUCUUCAUCUAAAAACCUCUGAAUGGAUUUGAAAUAGCUAUUUUUUAACACGAUGCUGAUGAUACACCCAUAAUAGGGAGCAGAGCAUUUUUCUUUGGGGGACAGGAGGAAAAAGGAAACA